This 547-nucleotide ribosomal RNA is filed under the name Trachylepis affinis (Senegal mabuya). Its description in RNAcentral is "partial 16S ribosomal RNA". It matches the Rfam family "Bacterial large subunit ribosomal RNA", at positions 1811 to 2612 of the family's 2925-position model. Lineage: Eukaryota; Metazoa; Chordata; Lepidosauria; Squamata; Scincidae. The record is from RNAcentral.
AAACAUAGCCUUUAGCAACACAAGUAUUAAAGGUCCCGCCUGCCCAGUGAAAUUUAUUUUUAACGGCCGCGGUAUUCUAACCGUGCAAAGGUAGCGUAAUCACUUGUCUUCUAAAUAAAGACUAGUAUGAACGGCUAAAUGAAGGUAAGACUGUCUCUUAUAAUUAAUCAGUGAAACUGACCUUCCAGUACAAACGCUGGAAUAAACACAUAAGACGAGAAGACCCCGUGGAGCUUAAAACUAAUCACUAACACAUUAUUACCCUAGUGCACUGUUUUCAGUUGGGGCGACUUCGGAAUAAAACAAAACUUCCGAGCACAGAACCACCACUUCCUACUGAGGCCAACAAGCCCAAGUACAACCUGACCCGGCUCCAAUGCCGAUCAACGAACCAAGUUACCCCGGGGAUAACAGCGCUAUCUUCUUCAAGAGUCCCUAUCAACAAGAAGGUUUACGACCUCGAUGUUGGAUCAGGACACCCAAAUGGUGCAGCCGCUAUUAAAGGUUCGUUUGUUCAACGAUUAACAGUCCUACGUGAUCUGAGUUC